This 519-nucleotide ribosomal RNA is filed under the name uncultured bacterium. RNAcentral describes it as "bacterial SSU rRNA". It matches the Rfam family "Bacterial small subunit ribosomal RNA", at positions 64 to 632 of the family's 1533-position model. The record is from RNAcentral.
GAGCGCCCCGCAAGGGGAGCGGCAGACGGGAGAGUAACACGUGGGAACGUGCCCUUUGGUUCGGAACAACACAGGGAAACUUGCGCUAAUACCGGAUAAGUCCGUAAGGAGAAAGAUUUAUCGCCAAAGGAUCGGCCCGCGUCUGAUUAGCUUGUUGGUGAGGUAACGGCUCACCAAGGCGACGAUCAGUAGCUGGUCUGAGAGGAUGAUCAGCCUCACUGGGACUGAGACACGGCCCAGACUCCUACGGGAGGCAGCAGUGGGGAAUAUUGGACAAUGGGCGCAAGCCUGAUCCAGCCAUGCCGCGUGGAUGAUGAAGGCCUCAGGGUUGUAAAGUCCUUUCGGCGGGGAAGAUAAUGACGGUACCCGCAGAAGAAGCCCCGGCUAACUUCGUGCCAGCAGCCGCGGUAAUACGAAGGGGGCUAGCGUUGCUCGGAAUCACUGGGGCGUAAGCGCACGUAGGCGGCUUUUUAAGUCAGAGGUGAAAUCCUGGAGCUCAACUCCAGACUGCCUUUGAUA